This is a long non-coding RNA of Pan troglodytes (chimpanzee), 4505 nucleotides long. RefSeq lists it as uncharacterized. The transcript has 5 exons. The record is from RefSeq and is a predicted model, not a curated record. Lineage: Eukaryota; Metazoa; Chordata; Mammalia; Primates; Hominidae.
UUUGCCAGUGUUUUGUUGAGGAAUUUUUCACUGAUGUUCAUCAAGGAUAUUGGCCUGAAGUUUUCUUUUGUGUGUGUGUGUGUCUGCCAGGUUUUGGUAUCAGGAUACUUGCCUUAUACAAUGAGUUAGGGAGGAGUCUCUUCUUUUCAAUUUUUUGAAAUACGUUGAGAAGGGAAGGUACCAGCUCUUCUUUGUACAUCUGGUAAAAUUAAACUGUGAAUCUGUCUAGAUCUGGACCUUUAUAGUUAGUAGGUGAUAUGGUUUUGCUGUAUCCCCACCCAGAUCUUAUCUUGAAUUGUAAUUCUCAUAAUCCCUACAUUUCCUGGGAAGGACCCAGUGGGAGGUAAUUGAAUCAUGGGUACAGUUACCUCCAUGCUGUUCUCAUGAUACUGAGUGAGUUCUCACAAGAUCUGAAGAUUUUAUAAAGGGCUUUCCCCAUCUUCUGUCUACAAUUCUCCUUGCUGCCACCAUGUGAAGAAGGACAUAUUUGCUUCCCCUUAUGCCAUGAUUGUAAGUUUUCUGAGGCCUCCCGAGCCAUGUUGAACUUUGAGUCAAUUAAUCCUCUUUUUUAAAUAUAAAUUAUCCAGCAACAUGGCUCUUUAUUUCACCUGGGUGCAGGCGGGCUGAGUCCGAAAAGAGAGUCAGCGAAGGAAGAUAGGGGUGGGGCCGUUUCAUAGGAUUUGGGUAGGUAAAGGAAAAUUACAGUCAAAGGGGGUUUGUUCUCUGGCGGGCAGGAGUGGGGGUUGCAAGGUGCUCAGUGGGGGUGCUUUUUGAGCCAGGAUGAGCUAGGAAAAGGACUUUCACAAGGUAAUGUCAUCACUUCAGGCAAGGACCGGCCAUUUACACUUCUUUUGUGGUGGAAUGUCUUCAGUUAAGGUGGGGCAGGGCAUAUUCACUUCUUUUGUGAUUCUUCAGUUACUUCAGGCCAUCUGGGCGUAUACUUGGUGCAAGUCACAGGGGAUGCGAUGGCUUGGCUUGGGCUCAGAGGCCUGACAUUCCUGCCUUCUUAUAUUAAUACGAAAAAUAAAACAAAAUAGUGUUGAAGUGUUGGGGCGGCGAAAAUUUUUGUGGGGUGGUAUGGAGAGAGAAUGGGCGAUGUUUCUCAGGGCUGCUUCAAGCGGGAUUAGGGGCGGCGUGGGAACCUAGAGUGGGAGAGAUUAAGCUGAAGGAAGAUCUUGUGGUAAGGGGUGAUAUUGUGGGGUUGUUAGAAGAAACAUUUGUCGUAUAGAAUGAUUGGUGAUGGCCUGGAUAUGGUUUUGGCUAAGAAUUGGGAUGACUCUGGAUAUCUGAUUAGAGAGUACCUAAGGAGAUUCAGCAUAGUCCUGCCAGCAAAGAUUACUUAUUUACUUCAAGAGUUAAGAGUGGCAGUUUGGGGAUAGCACCAGGAGAUAUCAGCUGCGAUGGCUUGGAAAAACAGUGUAAACUGGCAGUGUAAACAAGAGCAGGGCAUGUAUGAGUAGUUGAGAACGGUGAACAGGAGUAUGACUAGACAGAAGAUAGUAAGGAUGACAAGUUUUUUGGGGCACAGUCUAAGUUGGUCUGGUGUCUGGAAUGAGACUGGGGCCUAAUAAAAAGGAGCGUCUAUACAGGAGCUUAAAUGGGCUGUACCCUGUAGCAUUCUAAGGACAGGCCUGAAUUCUGAGAAGGGAAAGUGGUAAAAGUAUUGUCCAGUCCUUUUUAAGUUGGUGGCUGAGCUUGGUGAGGUGUGUUUUUAAAAGACCUUUAGUCCAUUUGACUUUUCUUGAAGAUGGAGGACCUUAAGGGAUAUAAAGAUUUCACUGAAUACUAAGAGCCUGAAAAACUGCUUGGCUGAUUUGACUAAUAAAGGCUCAUCUGUUAUCAGGCUGUAUUGAGGUGGGAAGGCUAAACUGAGGAAUUAUGUCUAACACAACGGAAGAAAUGACUGCGGUGGCCUUCUCAGACCCUGUAGGAAAGGCCUGUACCUAUCCAGUGAAAGUGUCUACCUAGACUAAGAGGCAUUUUAGUUAUCUGACUCAGGGCAUGUUGAGUAAAGCUAAUUUGCCAGUCCUGGGUGGGGCAAAUCCUCGAGCUUGAUGUGUAGGGAAGGGAGGGAGCCUGAAUAAUCCCUGAGGAGUAGUAGAAUAGCAGAUGGAACACUGAGAAGUUAUUUCCUUGAGGAUAGAUUUCCACGAUGGAAAGGAAAUGAGAGGUUCUAAGAGGCUGGCUAGUGGCUUGUACUAUAGCAUAACCUGACUUUGCUGGUGUGUGGCUAUUAGGCCUGGUGGAACCACCAUCAAUAAAUCAAGUGUGAUCAGGGUGAGGAACAGGAAAGAAGGAAAUUUGGGGAAAUGGGGUGAAUGUCAGGUGGAUCAGAGAGAUACAGUCAUGGGGGUCAGGUGUGGUAUCAGGAAUAAUGUGGGAGGCCAGAUUGAAGUCUGGGCCAGGAACAACGGUAAUUGUGGGAGACUCAACAAACAGUGAGUAUAGCUGAAGGAGCCAGGAAGCAGAAAGUAUAUACGUCAGGUAUGAGGAAGAAAAUAGAUUUUGGAAGUUAUGAGAACUGUAGAGAGUGAGUUGAGAACAGUUUGUGAUUUUGAGGGCCUCUAAAAGUAUUAAAGCAGCGGCAGCCGCUGCACGCAGACAUGAGGGCUAGGCUAAAACAGUAAGGUCAAGUUGUUUGGACAGAAAGGCUACAGGGUGUGGUCCUGGCUCUUGUGUAAGAAUUCUGACCGCGCUAACCAUGCCUAGGAUGGAAAGGAGUUGUUUUGUAGAAGGUGCUGGGGUUUGAGAGAUCAGUCAGACACGAUUGGCAGGGAGAGCACGUGUGUUUUUAUGAGAAUUAUGCCGAGAUAGGUAACAGAUGAGGAAGAAAUUUGGGCUUGAUUGAAGUAAUGGGGGCUGUCUGUGAAGCUUUGCGGCAGUACAGCCUAGGUAAUUUGCUGAGCUUGAUGGGUGUCAGGGUCAGUCCAAGUGAAAGCGAAGAGAGGCCGGGAUUAAGGGUGCAAAGGAAUAGUAAAGGAAGCAUGUUUGAGAUCUAGAACAGAAUAAUGGGUUGUAGAGGCAGGUAUUGAGGAUAGGAGAGUAUAUGGGUUUGGCACCACGGGGUGGAUAGGCAAAACGAUUUGGCUGAUAAGGCACAGAUCCUGAACUAACUUGUAAGGCUUGUCUGGUUUUAGGACAGGUAAAAUGGGGGAAUUGUAGGGAGAGUUUAUAGGCUUUAAAUGGCCAUGCUGUAGCAGGCGAGUGAUAACAGGCUUUAAUCUUUUUAAAGCGUGCUGCAGGAUGGGAUAUUGGCAUUGAGUGGGGUAAGGGUGAUUAGGUUUUAAUGAGAUGGUAAGGGGUGCAUGAUCGGUCACCAAGGAGGGAGUAGAGGUAUCUUUUACUUGUGGGUUAAGGUCGGGGGGAUACAAGAGGAGGACGCAAAGGAGGCUUUGGAUUGGGAAGAAGGGCUGCAAUAAGAUAUAGCUGUAGUCCAGGAAUAAGCAGAUAAUUUAGUUAAGGUGUCUCAGCCUAAUAAGGGAACUGGGCCGGUGGGGAUAACUAAAAAGGAGUGCUUAAAAGAGUAUUGUCUAAGUUGGCACCAGAGUUGGGGAGUUUUAAGAGGUUUAGAAGCCUGGCCAUCAAUACCCACAACAGUUAUGGAGGCAAGGGAAACAGGCCCUUGAAAAGGUAAUGUGGAGUGGGUAGCCUCCGUAUUCAUUAAGAAGGGGAGGGGUUUACCUUCCACUGUGAGAGUUACCUGAAGCUCGGCGUCAGUGAUGGUCUAGGGGGCUUCAGAAGCGAUCGGGCAGUGUCAGUCUUCAGCCGCUAAGCUGAGAAGAUCUGGGAAGGAGUCAGUCAGAGAGCCUUGGGCCAGAGUUCCAGGGGCUCUGGGAGUGGCUGCCAGAUUGAUCUCAUGGACCACGAUGACCAAGAUGCCGUAGCUUCAGUUAUUACAAUCUUGCUCCAAGGAGCAGAAAAUCAGAGACAGAAGGAAAUUUAAAAGCUAUGGCACAGGACCAUAACUCAGUAUUUCAACAAUUGCACUUGCCUGGAUGAAGCUUUAUCUGGCAGUAAUUCCCAUGGGCAUCUAUUUUUUGUUAAGAUUGCCUGCCUCUUGAAAUAGGGCAAACGUUCGACUUCCACACUGAGACACGAAUUACAAACAAAAAGUGGCAUACUGAAGUGAAUAGGAGCAGAGACUUUGGGGCUCAAAUGUCAAGAGUCUGAAUCCUGGCUUCAGAACAUGGACUGUGGCUUUCUGUCUCAAUAGGGUCAAUAGGGUCAUUUGUCCCACCUUGAUCUAUCUUUCUUAAUCAACUAUAUUUCCAUUGAAUUUUUGCUGUUAUACAAAACCAAACAUGUUUCUCUGUCACUGGAGAAGCUAUUUUUAUAAACCUGCAGAGUUUCGGACAACAAACUAAUAUAUCCUGGUCUUGGUAUUUCCUAGAAUGAUGUCCAAAUUUCAUCUCCGAUUAAAUAAUUUUUAACUUUUGAAACCAUUACUUCUAUCUUUAGUAUUGCAGUCCAAUUGUGAAAAAUCCAAUAAAUUCAUUUUUCCCAUA